CUGGCGGCAGGCCUAACACAUGCAAGUCGAGCGGCAGCGGAAAGUAGCUUGCUACUUUGCCGGCGAGCGGCGGACGGGUGAGUAAUGUCUGGGGAUCUGCCUGAUGGAGGGGGAUAACUACUGGAAACGGUAGCUAAUACCGCAUAACCUCGCAAGAGCAAAGUGGGGGACCUUCGGGCCUCACGCCAUCGGAUGAACCCAGAUGGGAUUAGCUAGUAGGUGGGGUAAUGGCUCACCUAGGCGACGAUCCCUAGCUGGUCUGAGAGGAUGACCAGCCACACUGGAACUGAGACACGGUCCAGACUCCUACGGGAGGCAGCAGUGGGGAAUAUUGCACAAUGGGCGCAAGCCUGAUGCAGCCAUGCCGCGUGUGUGAAGAAGGCCUUCGGGUUGUAAAGCACUUUCAGCGAGGAGGAAGGGUUAAGUGUUAAUAGCACUGAACAUUGACGUUACUCGCAGAAGAAGCACCGGCUAACUCCG
Molecule: ribosomal RNA, 480 nt
Filed under: Yersinia ruckeri
Lineage: Bacteria; Pseudomonadati; Pseudomonadota; Gammaproteobacteria; Enterobacterales; Yersiniaceae
Description: bacterial SSU rRNA
Rfam family: Bacterial small subunit ribosomal RNA
Source: RNAcentral